Scomber scombrus (Atlantic mackerel) is the source of this 670-nucleotide long non-coding RNA. RefSeq lists it as uncharacterized. The transcript is spliced from 4 exons. Lineage: Eukaryota; Metazoa; Chordata; Actinopteri; Scombriformes; Scombridae. The record is from RefSeq and is a predicted model, not a curated record.
GUAAAUGAGGGUCACAGAUACAGAUCCAUAUAAAGACAGCAGCAGGAAAAAAGAGUAAAGAGAACAUGUCCAUUUACAUCAUUGGCGUGGUUGUUUUCAUCUGUUUGGGCUUAGUGGGAAUGCUGUACGAAUACUAUAAAAAGAAUGAAUGGCGCGUCCACCGCACUAUCAUGAUUGGCCAGUGUUACGUGAUAUGUCUGUUAAUUGGGGUGGUGGUGUACCUCACUAACAAGCUAGAAGAUCCGCGAGUGAAAGUGGAUGAGAGAUGAGAUGAAAGCGCAGAGGGUUUGGAUGUCAAAGUGAACCAAACUCAUGGAUGAUAUUUGAUUAAAAAGAAAGAAGUGUCACAGUAAUAGGAUACAACAGGAAAAAUGCAUGAAUCAAACUGUCAUAUCAACAUCAGUGUGGAGGGGCCUUAAGGGACUCUACAUAAAGUUUUUUUAAAUCAAGAUGCAGUUAAAUGGGGAACAAACAAACAAGUAAACAAAACAGCAACAAGUAGCAAUUUGGCUAUUUAUGCAUGUUUUUGCCUCUGUUUUUUUAAUCUGCAUUGAACAAGAAUGAGUUCCUUUAUUUGUCAGUAAUCAUACAUGUGUCAUAACUGUCAAAAAUGAUCCUGUGACUGUGAACUUCUGUUUCUGAAUAAAAUUUAAAUAUGUUGUAAUUAAGU